CAUGCUGAAAACACCGGUCCUCGUCCAAUCACCAAAGUUAAGCUUCAUCGGGUGUGGUCAGUACUUGGGAGAGUGACCACCUGGGGACACCGCGUGUCGUUA
Molecule: ribosomal RNA, 102 nt
Filed under: Trichonephila inaurata madagascariensis
Lineage: Eukaryota; Metazoa; Arthropoda; Arachnida; Araneae; Nephilidae
Source: RNAcentral